Molecule: ribosomal RNA, 465 nt
Filed under: uncultured bacterium
Lineage: Bacteria
Description: bacterial SSU rRNA
Rfam family: Bacterial small subunit ribosomal RNA
Source: RNAcentral
CCUANGUGUGGCAGCAGUGGGGAAUUUUGCGCAAUGGGCGAAAGCCUGACGCAGCGACGCCGCGUGGAGGAUGAAGGUCUUUGGAUCGUAAACUUCUGUUAAGUGGGAAGAAAAGUCUGCUAGUAAUAUGAGCAGAAAAUGACGGUACCAUUAGAGAAAGCACCGGCUAACUUCGUGCCAGCAGCCGCGGUAAUACGAAGGGUGCAAGCGUUAUUCGGAAUCAUUGGGCGUAAAGGGUGCGUAGACGGCUUGUUAAGUCAGUUGUUAAAUUUUCCGGCCUAACUGGAAAUCCGCGAUUGAAACUGGCGAGCUAGAGGGUGGAAGAGAGAAGUGGAAUUCUCGGAGUAGCGGUAAAAUGCGUAGAUCUCGAGAGGAACACCGAUGGCGAAGGCAGCUUCUUGGUCCAUUUCUGACGUUGAGGCACGAAAGCGUGGGGAGCAAACAGGAUUAGAUACCCCUNUANUC